UACAGAGGUCUCAAGCGUUGUUCGGAUUCAUUGGGCGUAAAGGGCGCGUAGGCGGCGAGGUUAGUCAGGUGUGAAAUCUCGGGGCUCAACCCCGAAACUGCACUUGAUACUGCCUUGCUAGAGUACUGGAGAGGAGAUUGGAAUUUACGGUGUAGCAGUGAAAUGCGUAGAUAUCGUAAGGAAGACCAGUGGCGAAGGCGAAUCUCUGGACAGUUACUGACACUGAGGCACGAAGGCCAGGGGAGCAAACGGG
RNAcentral lists this ribosomal RNA (253 nucleotides) under uncultured bacterium. RNAcentral's name for it is "partial 16S ribosomal RNA". It matches the Rfam family "Bacterial small subunit ribosomal RNA", at positions 524 to 776 of the family's 1533-position model. The record is from RNAcentral.